GUUUUGUAAUUGGAAUGAGUACAAUCUAAAUCCCUUAUCUAGCAUCACUUGGAGGGCAAGUCUGGUGCCAGCAGCCGCGGCCCUUCCAGCUCCAAUAGCGGAUAUUAAAGUUGUUGCAGAUAAAAAGCUCGUAGGUGGAUUUCUGAUAGGAGCGGCCAUGCCGGACUCGAUUGUCCGUGCAAUGCGUUGUCUCCAGUCAUCCUCGUGGAGAACAUUUCUGGCAUUAAUUUGUCGNAUUUGGGACCCCCGUCAUUUACUGNGAAAAAAUUANAGNGUUUAAAGCAGGCAACUGGCUUGAAUACAUUAGCAUGGAAUAAUAANAUAGGACUUUGGUGCUAUUUUGAUGGCUUGCACCUCAAGGUAAUGAUUAACAGAAUCAGUCGGGGAUAUCCGUAUGCACAUGUCAGAGGUGAACUGCUUGGAUUUUUUACANACGAACUACUGCGAAAGCAUUUAUCAAGGAUGUUUUCAUUAAUCAACAACGAAAGNUAGGGGAACGAAGAUCAUUAGAUACCAUCGUAGUCUUAACCGUAAACUAUGCCGACUUGC
RNAcentral lists this ribosomal RNA (549 nucleotides) under uncultured marine stramenopile. RNAcentral describes it as "bacterial SSU rRNA". It matches the Rfam family "Eukaryotic small subunit ribosomal RNA", at positions 500 to 1050 of the family's 1831-position model. The record is from RNAcentral.